Non-coding RNA from Benincasa hispida (wax gourd), 1346 nucleotides. Lineage: Eukaryota; Viridiplantae; Streptophyta; Magnoliopsida; Cucurbitales; Cucurbitaceae. The record is from RefSeq and is a predicted model, not a curated record.
GCUACAGUGUUUACUAUUUUCUUGUCAAACUAAAAUAGUUUACAUCUCAAACACAUACUAUUAUAACUCAAACUAAAAUAAUCUACAUCCUAAAUACAAAAUAUUAUAACUUAAUUAUAAUAAUCUAGGACUAUAAAAACAACUCCUUGUCCUAAUGUCUCCUAAAUCCCUAAAGUUUCUAACUUCAUAUAACACAUACAAAUUAAGGUGUCAUAUAUUUCUCUGAUUCACACAGGGACAAAAAGGGAUUAGGAAAAACAUUUUGAUCAUCCUGUUUGAAGAUUGUAUUUGACUAAUGACCAGUGUGCUCUCCUGAAGAAAGUGAUGGUGAAGAAAAAAGAAAGCAUUCCUGUUCAUGACUCCACUACCCUAAAAAGAGUCAAGAGAGAGAGAAAGAGGUUGAUGACAUCCAAAUAGAUAGCCACAGCAGCCCAAAUGUAAUCAUCAUAAGAGUAAGUGAGGAGAUUCCCUGUGUCAUAAAUGAUAUAUCCACAGAAAAUGAUUGAGGCCAAACAGCCAUAGACCAUUAUAGAGGUUUUACCCAGAGGAAAGAAAAGCUGCAGCAGCCAUGAAAAUGGAACCAGAGGUUAGAAUAUGUAAACCCCAGAUAGAUUAAACAUGGCAUUUGUUUGGUUUUGAACAGAAGUUGGGAACUUUGUUAAUGGUGUUUGAUGGAAUUGGAAAUAUCUGAGAGAGGCAAAUACUUACCUGAAUCAUUCCAAACACAAGAAGAAUGAGCAGAGCUCCAAACAAGAAUGGACCAAGGAAGCUGAAUUCAAUCCCUCUUCUAGCAGCCCAAAAUGUGUACAAACUCAGACUUAUGACUGCCACAGUGGACCAAAAUAUACAAGGCCAACCCUCCGCUGUCACGGACAAAGAAAUCCGCUAUCAGACGAACUGACAUGACGGUGGCGGCGACGGCGACGGCGACGGUGGCUACCAACUGAACGGAAAUGAUGGCAUAAACCUUGCGGAUGAAGGCCCAUCGGAGGUGCGAAGGCUCCAGCAUUACUGGGAAACGGGGACCCACUCCCGCCUCCACGUCAGGCUUCUGGUAGGGGUGGUUCCACAUCGUAUUAGUCCGGCGAUAGGCGGCGCGUGGUCUUAUACGUGCUGUUUAGUUCCUCGGAAAGUAUAAACUAAAUGAGCGGUGAAAUGUGAAGAACCGGAAUAUGUAGUAUGGGAAAUUUUCCCCGUUGGAGAGCGAUGGUGAAGUAUCCACGUGUAUCUCACGGUCAAAUGAAAUGCUGCCACGGUGGAGUGAGUUCUGCUGUGCUGUACAAACGAGUACAUAUUUUGACUAAAAAAAAAAAAAAUGGAAAAAUGGAAAUUAGAAUUUCAACCCU